RNAcentral lists this transfer RNA (72 nucleotides) under Camelus bactrianus (Bactrian camel). It matches the Rfam family "tRNA". From Rfam's summary of the family: Transfer RNA (tRNA) molecules are approximately 80 nucleotides in length. Their secondary structure includes four short double-helical elements and three loops (D, anti-codon, and T loops). RNAcentral also lists the same sequence under 2 other names. The record is from Rfam by way of RNAcentral. Lineage: Eukaryota; Metazoa; Chordata; Mammalia; Artiodactyla; Camelidae.
GAGGGUAUAGCUCAGUGAUAGAGUGUGUGCCUGGCAUGCAUGAGAUCUUGGAUUCAAUCUCAAGUACCUCCA